RNAcentral lists this ribosomal RNA (296 nucleotides) under Staphylococcus aureus. RNAcentral's name for it is "partial 23S ribosomal RNA". It matches the Rfam family "Bacterial large subunit ribosomal RNA", at positions 1244 to 1538 of the family's 2925-position model. The record is from RNAcentral. Lineage: Bacteria; Bacillati; Bacillota; Bacilli; Caryophanales; Staphylococcaceae.
AGGGCGUUGAAGCAUGAUCGUAAGGACAUGUGGAGCGCUUAGAAGUGAGAAUGACGGUGUGAGUAGAGAAAGACGGGUGAGAGACCCGUCCAGCGGUUGACUAAGGUUUCCAGAGGAAGGCUCGUCCGCUCUGGGUUAGUCGGGUCCUAAGCUGAGGCCGACAGGCGUAGGCGAUGGAUAACAGGUUGAUAUUCCUGUACCACCUAUAAUCGUUUUAAUCGAUGGGGGGACGCAGUAGAAAAGGCGAAGCGUGCGAGUGGAUUGCACGUCUAAGCAGUUAGGCUCAGUGGUAGGCA